CAGCAACAGACUGCAUGUAGGACUGUGGUCUCAUAAGAGUAUCCCGGGUGUGUAGUAGACUACAUCAUCUAGGUUUGUGUACGUAGGCUCUGAUGUUCGCACACCGACGAAGCCGCCUGAAGACGCAGUUAUCAGAAUGCAUCUCCGUCGUUAAGCGACGCGCCACUGUGCAGAAAGCUCAAGUAACUCGCCCCAGGUCCCCCAGCAGGUGGUUGGGAGAAAAGCCCACAUUUAGUUCGCGGAUGCUGUCCUCUUCGUCACCAUUAACCCCACCGAGCAGAGCGGUCACAGCCUCCCUGGGCUCUCCAUGCCUUCCAUGCCAGUGCUCUGAGACAUUCCAGAUCUUCAGUCAAGCUCUUCUCCUCCUCCAUUCUCAGAGCCUGAAGAAGAAUUUCUGCCUGCAGAAAGUCAACUGCUUUUUCCAGCGCAGGGCAGAACCGACCUUGGAGUCCUGGAGAGUUCCAGGGGUCCUGUAAGGCCGCGGCUGUUCACUUCCCUUCAAUAAAUUUUCC
RNAcentral lists this long non-coding RNA (512 nucleotides) under Equus caballus (horse). RNAcentral's name for it is "lncRNA (ENSECAG00000044600.1)". The record is from RNAcentral. Lineage: Eukaryota; Metazoa; Chordata; Mammalia; Perissodactyla; Equidae.